UAAAGAAGAAGCUGCUUCAUGACCAUCUGAGGUGUACGUGUCUUUAUGUCCUGCUGGACGGCAACAUUUGGUGGCCCAUAUGGGGAAUGGUGAGCACUCAGCAUGCAGCAUGUCCAAGUUUGUUAUUAUGCCCAGUGAAAAUGUGUUCAUCAUGCCAACAGUCAGGCUCUUGUUUCAUCCAUUGGCUUGUGGUCUGCAACUUUCAGGGGCUGGUAAUAGAACUCUUGUCAAUUUCCCAGAGGGCCUUGUGCCACAGAGGCACUAGUCUGGUCAAAGGAAUGAGCCCUUGGAUGUACACAGAUUGACCUGAUAUUUCUGCAUCUGAAGAUGAGUCGAAGGGCCUCUGGAAAUAUUACAGCAGGAAAAUUUCUGAGUGCAGCCCAUUGUAAGGCAGCAGCCAAGGUGUUUGGCCCUGGCAGGUGGAGUGAGCACAGAACUACUCUCCUUGCUUGACAGCUCCUUCCAGUCCUCCAAUCAACAUGCUGUGUGAAUGCCUUCCUCAUGACUCUCCACAUGAGCCACCCCAGCAGCCACCAACCUCCACUUGGAAGGUCCAACUCCUCAGGUUUCAGCUGUCUUGCAUUAUGGCUUUCUGGGAAAGGAGGGGCAACCGACCAGACUGGGUUUGAUGUUUCCCAAUUCAAGGAGCACCUGAACCAGGGAACUGCACUGCACUCUCCCCAGCCCUGAACUGUCAGUAGCCAUCAUGAUGUGUGGCUGCUAGGGUCCUAGGCUAGUUACCUGAUUUGGUAAAAUCAUGGGUGUGACCAGACCUGGAGGAGCGGUUUCAGAGGGCAAUGCCAGCUGGGGAUUGUGAGCUGGUGAUUGUUUUGAAUCUCGGUCUGAAGUGGCCAGGACCAGAAGCAUCUCUGGUUGCCAUGGGAACUGUGACACCAUCUUGCUGUUGUGCCACCCCUCUGUGACUCAGAUGCUGUCUGCAGUGUAGGCACGAGGUCACAGAAGUGAAUCCUCAUCCAGGUGGUCCAAGGUCCAGAGAAAGCCUCUGGGGAUAGAGAAAGUGCAUUUCUCCUAAUGGAGAUUGAAACCUCCAUGCCCUUUACACCUGCCAUGCCUGAAGACCGCCCCUUCCACUUUGAAUAGAGUCUCUCUCCCAUCUUUUGCUCUCAUGGCACAGGAGCACUGGAAACAAAGUGAGACUAUUCUCAGAGUGCAACAACAUGCAAUAGAAUGAUUGAGAGAUCAGGGAACAUUCCUGGGAACCUGGUGGGCAUUGUAGCCCCUGCCCUGAUUCAAAACACUGUGUAUUUGCUGAUCAUUUGGUUCAAAACCAGACCUCUUCCCUCACCACAGUCAUCAUUGUCUUCCCCAAGGUUGGUUUGCUGGGGUGGCAGUCAGUGUUCGUUGGGACUACCAGUUCUCAGCAUGUUCUUCUUCCAGAGGUGCCAGGUACCAGAAAGAAGCAAGAAUAUGGCACAGUUCAGAAUGACAUCCACUACCUCAUGGCUGUGUCAGGGCUGGGAUAUGACAGUGCUGACCUUCCUGCAGAGAUUCUGCUGAAAGAAGAGAUACUGCUGGCAUGUGGUUGUGCUGAUUCCUCCAGGGGAGUCAAAGGAUUGGAUGUACCACAAAUGCCUCAGAGGGGCUGGUGU
Sciurus carolinensis (gray squirrel) is the source of this 1610-nucleotide long non-coding RNA. RefSeq lists it as uncharacterized. NCBI's taxonomy places the organism in Eukaryota, Metazoa, Chordata, Mammalia, Rodentia, Sciuridae. The record is from RefSeq and is a predicted model, not a curated record. The transcript is spliced from 3 exons.